Molecule: ribosomal RNA, 1298 nt
Filed under: uncultured fungus
Lineage: Eukaryota; Fungi
Description: eukaryotic LSU rRNA
Rfam family: Eukaryotic large subunit ribosomal RNA (bases 650-1298)
Source: RNAcentral
CUUGGUCAUUUAGAGGAAGUAAAAGUCGUAACAAGGUUUCCGUAGGUGAACCUGCGGAAGGAUCAUUACCGAGUACCCGCGCUAAUAGCGUGGACUCCCACCCUUGCAUACCGACCUGUUGCUUCGGCGGGACGCGGUUGUUUCUGUGAGGUGCGAAUCUCACUUGUCUCCGCGAUUCCUCUUCUUCUCUUUCCGAUGUGUGGAUCUGUCCCCUCUCAGGGGUAGGACCCUUAGUAUCGGGGGAGAAUAGAAAAGAAGGGGGAGCCUGCCCGCCGAGGGUCCAAACUCUUGAUACAUUCUUGCAGUCUGAGAAAAAAACAAAAUCAAUCAAAACUUUCAACAACGGAUCUCUUGGUUCUGGCAUCGAUGAAGAACGCAGCGAAAUGCGAUAAGUAAUGUGAAUUGCAGACUUCAGUGAAUCAUCGAAUCUUUGAACGCACAUUGCGCCCUCCGGUACUCCGGGGGGCAUACCUGUUCGAGCGCCGUUGUACUACUAAGGCUCAGCCUUGCGGUGACCGACGCCCCUCCUGUCUUUCUGGAGGGGUGGGGUCGAAACCCAUGGGCGCGUCCUCUCAGGUCGUCCAGCGUAGCAAGUCUCUCGCUGAACGUUUGCCGAGAGUGGGAGCGCCAGUACUCAAUAACGAACGCUUGGCCUCGAAUCAGGUAGGGAUACCCGCUGAACUUAAGCAUAUCAAUAAGCGGAGGAAAAGAAACCAACAGGGAUUGCCUCAGUAACGGCGAGUGAAGCGGCAUCAGCUCAGAUUUGAAAUCUGGCCCGCAAGGGUCCGAGUUGUAAUCUGCAGAGGAACGUUCGGUCUCGGCGCCGGUCCAAGUCUCUUGGAACGGAGCGUCGUGGAGGGUGAGAACCCCGUACCCGGCCGGUGGCCGUGACCGUGUGAACGUCCUUCGACGAGUCGAGUUGUUUGGGAAUGCAGCUCAAAGCGGGUGGUAAAUUCCAUCUAAAGCUAAAUAUUGGCCAGAGACCGAUAGCGCACAAGUAGAGUGAUCGAAAGAUGAAAAGCGCUUUGAAAAGAGAGUUAAACAGUAUGUGAAAUUGUUGAAAGGGAAGCGCUUGCAACCAGACUUGUUUAUAGGGUUCAGCCGUCGUUCUCGUCGGUGUAUUUCCCUAUUAUCAGGCCAGCAUCAGUUUAGGUGGAAGGUCAAAGGCCUUGGGAAUGUAUCAUCCUCCGGGAUGUCUUAUAGCCCUCGGUGUAAUGCUUCCCUCCUGGACUGAGGAACGCGCUUUUGCUCGGAUGCUGGCGUAAUGGUUGUAAGCGACCCGUCUUGAAACACGGACC